GAUGAACGCUAGCGGCAGGCUUAACACAUGCAAGUCGAGGGGUAUGGUUCUUCGGAGCCAGAGACCGGCGCACGGGUGCGUAACGCGUAUGCAAUCUACCUUUUUACAGGAGGGAUAGCCCAGAGAAAUUUGGAUUAAUACCUCAUAGUAUAACAUGACCGCAUGGUCGAGUUAUUAAAGUCACAACGGUAAAAGAUGAG
Molecule: ribosomal RNA, 200 nt
Filed under: uncultured bacterium
Lineage: Bacteria
Description: partial 16S ribosomal RNA
Rfam family: Bacterial small subunit ribosomal RNA
Source: RNAcentral